Molecule: ribosomal RNA, 406 nt
Filed under: uncultured bacterium
Lineage: Bacteria
Description: partial 16S ribosomal RNA
Rfam family: Bacterial small subunit ribosomal RNA
Source: RNAcentral
AUUGAACGCUGGCGGCAGGCUUAACACAUGCAAGUCGAGCGAGCGGCGGACGGGUGAGUAAUGUCUGGGAAACUGCCUGAUGGAGGGGGAUAACUACUGGAAACGGUAGCUAAUACCGCAUACCAUCAGAUGUGCCCAGAUGGGAUUAGCUAGUAGGUGGGGUAAUGGCUCACCAAGGCGACGAUCCCUAGCUGGGCUGAGAGGGUGACCGGCAACACUGGAACUGAGACACGGUCCAUACUCCUACGGGAGGCAGCAGUGGGGAAUUGUGUACAAUGGACACAAGCCUGAUGCAGCCAUGCCGCGUGUGUGAAGAAGGCCUUCGGGUUGUAAAGCACUUUCAGCGAGGAAGCGUUACUCGCAGAAGAAGCACCGGCUAACUCCGUGCCAGCAGCCGCGGUAAUAC